CAAACUGGGAUUAGAUACCCCACUAUGCUUAGCCCUAAACACAAGUAAUUAAUAUAACAAAAUUAUUCGCCAGAGUACUACCGGCAAUAGCUUAAAACUCAAAGGACUUGGCGGUGCUUUAUACCCUUCUAGAGGAGCCUGUUCU
RNAcentral lists this ribosomal RNA (145 nucleotides) under Capreolus capreolus (Western roe deer). Its description in RNAcentral is "partial 12S ribosomal RNA". The record is from RNAcentral. Lineage: Eukaryota; Metazoa; Chordata; Mammalia; Artiodactyla; Cervidae.